UCCGGUUUGUCACCGGCAGUCUCCUUAGAGUGCCCUUGCGUAGCAACUAAGGACAAGGGUUGCGCUCGUUGCGGGACUUAACCCAACAUCUCACGACACGAGCUGACGACAGCCAUGCAGCACCUGUGUUCCGGUUCCCUUUCGGGCACAACCGCCUUUCAGCAGCCUUCCGGACAUGUCAAACCCAGGUAAGGUUCUUCGCGUUGCAUCGAAUUAAUCCGCAUGCUCCGCCGCUUGUGCGGGCCCCGUCAAUUCCUUUGAGUUUUAACCUUGCGGCCGUACUCCCCAGGCGGAGAACUUAUCGCGUUUGCUUCGACACCCAUGAGCUUCUGCUCAUAAACAUCUAGUCCUCAUCGUUUACAGCGUGGACUAC
Molecule: unclassified non-coding RNA, 373 nt
Filed under: uncultured Gammaproteobacteria bacterium
Lineage: Bacteria; Pseudomonadati; Pseudomonadota; Gammaproteobacteria
Description: contains 16S-23S intergenic spacer region
Source: RNAcentral